GAAAUGCGAUAAGUAAUGUGAAUUGCAGAAUUUAGUGAAUCAUCGAAUCUUUGAACGCACCUUGCGCUCCUUGGUAUUCCGAGGAGCAUGCCUGUUUGAGUGUCAUGGAAUUCUCAACUCUAUUUGCUUUUGUGAAUAGAGCUUGGAUUUGGAGGUUUAUUGCUGGUACUUGUGAUCGGCUCCUCUUGAAUGCAUUAGCUCGAACCUUUGCGGAUCAGCUAUCGGUGUGAUAAUUGUCUACGCCGUUGCAGUGAAGCAUAUCAAUGGGCUCGGCUUCCAAUCGUCCUUUACUGGACAAUGACUUUGACCUUUGACCUCAAAUCAGGUAGGAUUACCCGCUGAACUUAAGC
RNAcentral lists this unclassified non-coding RNA (350 nucleotides) under plant metagenome. Its description in RNAcentral is "partial contains 5.8S ribosomal RNA, internal transcribed spacer 2, and large subunit ribosomal RNA". The stretch from base 1 to 105 matches the Rfam family "5.8S ribosomal RNA", at positions 50 to 154 of the family's 154-position model. The record is from RNAcentral.